Molecule: ribosomal RNA, 730 nt
Filed under: uncultured bacterium
Lineage: Bacteria
Description: bacterial SSU rRNA
Rfam family: Bacterial small subunit ribosomal RNA
Source: RNAcentral
AACGAACGCUGGCAGCGUGGAUUAGGCAUGCAAGUCGAACGCUCGGCGGCUGUAGCAAUACGGCCGCCGGGAGUGGCGGAAAGGCGAGGAACGCAUGGGCAAUCUGUCCCAAGGGUGGGGAUAACGCCGUGAAAAUGGCGCUAAUACCGAAUGUGGCGUACGGGUCGCAUGACUCGUCCGCUUAAGGCGGGGACCGCAAGGCCUGGCCCCUAGGGAGGAGCCCGUGUGCCAUCAGCUUGUUGGCCGGGUAACGGGCCACCAAGGCUUACGGCUAGCUGGUCUGAGAGGACGACCAGCCGCACUGGGACUGAGACACUGCCCAGACUCCUACGGGAGGCUGCAGUCGAGGAUCAUUCGCAAUGGGCGAAAGCCUGACGAUGCGACGCUGCGUGGAGGAUGACGGCCUUCGGGUUGUAAACUCCUGUCAUGAGGGAAACUCGAACCUGCGACAACAUCAGGGGGACGAGAUGGUACCUCAAGAGGAAGCCACGGCUAACUCUGUGCCAGCAGCCGCGGUAAUACAGAGGUGGCGAGCGUUGUUCGGAUUUACUGGGCGUAAAGGGCGCGUAGGCGGCGCGGUGUGUCGGGUGUGAAAUCCAUGGGGCCAACCCAUGAAGUGCGCCCGAAACUGCCGUGCUAGAGUGCCGGAGGGGAGAUCGGAAUGCAGGGUGGUAGCGGUGAAAUGCGUUGAUAUCCUGCAGAACACCGGUGGCGAAGGCGGAUCUCUGGA